UCGGACGUGGUGCAUGGCGCACACCUGCUCGCCCUACAUGGAUUCCACUCUAUGAGGCAGGAAGCCCGGGUUCGAUUCCUGGCGUUCGAA
Non-coding RNA from Mycena leptocephala, 90 nucleotides. NCBI's taxonomy places the organism in Eukaryota, Fungi, Basidiomycota, Agaricomycetes, Agaricales, Mycenaceae. The record is from the annotation of a GenBank genome assembly.